RNAcentral lists this ribosomal RNA (497 nucleotides) under uncultured bacterium. RNAcentral's name for it is "partial 16S ribosomal RNA". It matches the Rfam family "Bacterial small subunit ribosomal RNA", at positions 28 to 507 of the family's 1533-position model. The record is from RNAcentral.
GAUGAACGCUGGCGGCGUGCCUAAUACAUGCAAGUCGAGCGAACGGACGAGAAGCUUGCUUCUCUGAUGUUAGCGGCGGACGGGUGAGUAACACGUGGAUAACCUACCUAUAAGACUGGGAUAACUUCGGGAAACCGGAGCUAAUACCGGAUAAUAUUUUGAAACGCAUGGUUCAAAAGUGAAAGACGGUCUUGCUGUCACUUAUAGAUGGAUACGCGCUGCAUUAGCUAGUUGGUAAGGUAACGGCUUACCAAGGCAACGAUGAAUAGCCGACCUGAGAGGGUGAUCGGCCACACUGGAACGGAGACACGGUCCAGACUCCUACGGGAGGCAGCAGUAGGGAAUCUUCCGCGAUGGGCGAAAGCCUGACGGAGCAACGCCGCGUGAGUGAUGAAGGUCUUCGGAUCGUAAAACUCUGUUAUUAGGGAAGAACAUAUGUGUAAGUAACUGUGCACAUCUUGACGGUACCUAAUCAGAAAGCCACGGCUAACUACGUG